RNAcentral lists this ribosomal RNA (699 nucleotides) under Escherichia coli. Its description in RNAcentral is "bacterial SSU rRNA". It matches the Rfam family "Bacterial small subunit ribosomal RNA", at positions 1 to 687 of the family's 1533-position model. The record is from RNAcentral. Lineage: Bacteria; Pseudomonadati; Pseudomonadota; Gammaproteobacteria; Enterobacterales; Enterobacteriaceae.
UUAAAUUGAAGAGUUUGAUCAUGGCUCAGAUUGAACGCUGGCGGCAGGCCUAACACAUGCAAGUCGAACGGUAACAGGAAACAGCUUGCUGUUUCGCUGACGAGUGGCGGACGGGUGAGUAAUGUCUGGGAAACUGCCUGAUGGAGGGGGAUAACUACUGGAAACGGUAGCUAAUACCGCAUAACGUCGCAAGACCAAAGAGGGGGACCUUCGGGCCUCUUGCCAUCGGAUGUGCCCAGAUGGGAUUAGCUAGUAGGUGGGGUAACGGCUCACCUAGGCGACGAUCCCUAGCUGGUCUGAGAGGAUGACCAGCCACACUGGAACUGAGACACGGUCCAGACUCCUACGGGAGGCAGCAGUGGGGAAUAUUGCACAAUGGGCGCAAGCCUGAUGCAGCCAUGCCGCGUGUAUGAAGAAGGCCUUCGGGUUGUAAAGUACUUUCAGCGGGGAGGAAGGGAGUAAAGUUAAUACCUUUGCUCAUUGACGUUACCCGCAGAAGAAGCACCGGCUAACUCCGUGCCAGCAGCCGCGGUAAUACGGAGGGUGCAAGCGUUAAUCGGAAUUACUGGGCGUAAAGCGCACGCAGGCGGUUUGUUAAGUCAGAUGUGAAAUCCCCGGGCUCAACCUGGGAACUGCAUCUGAUACUGGCAAGCUUGAGUCUCGUAGAGGGGGGUAGAAUUCCAGGUGUAGCGGUGAAAU